Molecule: ribosomal RNA, 253 nt
Filed under: uncultured bacterium
Lineage: Bacteria
Description: partial 16S ribosomal RNA
Rfam family: Bacterial small subunit ribosomal RNA
Source: RNAcentral
UACGUAGGUGGCAAGCGUUGUCCGGAUUUACUGGGCGUAAAGAGCGCGCAGGCGGUCGUUCAAGUCGCGUGUGAAAGCCCCCGGCUCAACUGGGGAGGGUCACGCGAUACUGAUCGACUCGAAGGCAGGAGAGGGUAGUGGAAUUCCCGGUGUAGUGGUGAAAUGCGUAGAUAUCGGGAGGAACACCGGUGGCGAAGGCGGCUACCUGGACAGAGUCUGACGCUGAGGCACGAAAGCUAGGGGAGCAAACAGG